Sinocyclocheilus anshuiensis is the source of this 141-nucleotide long non-coding RNA. RefSeq lists it as uncharacterized. Lineage: Eukaryota; Metazoa; Chordata; Actinopteri; Cypriniformes; Cyprinidae. The record is from RefSeq and is a predicted model, not a curated record. The transcript is spliced from 3 exons.
GCUCAGUUCAUGUCAGGACCUGGAUGAUCACUCGUCAUCAUGGAUCUGAACAUUAGCUGCUGUUGGAAACGGCUCCUUCUGUUCUCUCUCCUUCUUGUCUGUGUCAAUGGACAAACGUCAGGGCCAUCUUUCACGCUGACA